Molecule: ribosomal RNA, 270 nt
Filed under: uncultured prokaryote
Description: partial 16S ribosomal RNA
Rfam family: Archaeal small subunit ribosomal RNA
Source: RNAcentral
UACCUGCAGCUCGAGUGGUGGUCGCUAUUAUUGGGCCUAAAAACGUCCGUAGCCGGUUUUAUAAAUGCCUGGGUAAAUCGUAUAGCUUAACUAUACGAAUUCCGGGUAGACUGUUAAACUUGAGACCGGGAGAAGUCGGAGGUACUCCUGGGGUAGAGGUGAAAUUCUGUAAUCCUAGGGGGACCACCAGUGGCGAAGGCGUCCGACUAGAACGGGUCUGACGGUGAGGGACGAAGCCCUGGGGCGCAAACCGGAUUAGAUACCCGCGUA